GAUGAACGCUGGCGGCGUGCCUAAUACAUGCAAGUCGAGCGAACAGACGAGGAGCUUGCUCCUCUGACGUUAGCGGCGGACGGGUGAGUAACACGUGAUAACCUACCUAUAAGACUGGGAUAACUUCGGGAAACCGGAGCUAAUACCGGAUAAUAUAUUGAACCGCAUGGUUCCAUAGUGAAAGACGGUUUUGCUGUCACUUAUAGAUGGAUCCGCGCCGCAUUAGCUAGUUGGUAAGGUAACGGCUUACCAAGGCGACGAUGCGUAGCCGACCUGAGAGGGUGAUCGGCCACACUGGAACUGAGACACGGUCCAGACUCCUACGGGAGGCAGCAGUAGGGAAUCUUCCGCAAUGGGCGAAAGCCUGACGGAGCAACGCCGCGUGAGUGAUGAAGGUCUUCGGAUCGUAAAACUCUGUUAUUAGGGAAGAACAAAUGUGUAAGUAACUAUGCACGUCUUGACGGUACCUAAUCAGAAAGCCACGGCUAACUACGUG
Molecule: ribosomal RNA, 496 nt
Filed under: uncultured bacterium
Lineage: Bacteria
Description: partial 16S ribosomal RNA
Rfam family: Bacterial small subunit ribosomal RNA
Source: RNAcentral